CCAGGAGUUGUAUUUCGACUCCUAGUCUAGAACUUGCACUCCUCCACGUAGACACUUCGGGAUCCUUACAGAGAAUAUAAAUGUUAAAACUAAGUUUUUGUACGAACCCGCCGGAGAUGAGCGCACAAAAAGGGUUCCCCUGUUUCCAACCUCCCACCCGUGUUUAUCGUACCCUGUUGCUUCGGUGCCCCCGCCUCACGGCCGCCGGGGGGCUUCUGCCCCCGGGUCCGCGCGCACCGGAGACACUAUUGAACUCUGUCUGAAGAUUGCAGUCUGAGCAUAAACUAAAUAAGUUAAAACUUUCAACAACGGAUCUCUUGUUCCGGCAUCGAUGAAGAACGCAGCGAAAUGCGAUAACUAAUGUGAAUUGCAGAAUUCAGUGAAUCAUCGAGUCUUUGAACGCACAUUGCGCCCCCUGGUAUUCCGGGGGGCAUGCCUGUCCGAGCGUCAUUGCUGCCCUCAAGCACGGCUUGUGUGUUGGGCUCCGUCCCCCCGGGGACGGGUCCGAAAGGCAGCGGCGGCACCGAGUCCGGUCCUCGAGCGUAUGGGGCUUUGUCACCCGCUCUGUAGGCCCGGCCGGCGCCAGCCGACAACCAAUCAUCCUUUUUUCAGGUUGACCUCGGAUCAGGUAGGGAUACCCGCUGAACUUAAGCAUAUCAAUAAGCGGAGG
RNAcentral lists this ribosomal RNA (670 nucleotides) under uncultured Penicillium. RNAcentral describes it as "eukaryotic LSU rRNA". The stretch from base 298 to 450 matches the Rfam family "5.8S ribosomal RNA". The record is from RNAcentral. Lineage: Eukaryota; Fungi; Ascomycota; Eurotiomycetes; Eurotiales; Aspergillaceae.